AAGGAAAUAUAUAUUUUAAAACAGACCAAGGUUACUUUUUUUUGGGGGGCUUUUGGUCUACAAACAAAACACAGAAACCCAAGAAGAGCGAGUGGGGAAUUUGACUUGGUCCUUUUUUUUUCUUUUGGGAUUGGUUUAUUUGAGGAUUUUUUUUUCCUCAAAGACUAGUCCACAGAAAAAAAAAAAGGAGGAAAUCAAAAGAACCACAGCAAAGAAAAAAACUAGUAGUUGCCUGAUAAAGAGUUUGGAAAGGAUGAAUAAAAAAA
RNAcentral lists this unclassified non-coding RNA (266 nucleotides) under soil metagenome. Its description in RNAcentral is "partial internal transcribed spacer 1". The record is from RNAcentral.